This 721-nucleotide long non-coding RNA is filed under the name Monodelphis domestica (gray short-tailed opossum). Its description in RNAcentral is "lncRNA (ENSMODG00000044315.1)". The record is from RNAcentral. Lineage: Eukaryota; Metazoa; Chordata; Mammalia; Didelphimorphia; Didelphidae.
AUGGAAUUCAUGUUCUGGAAAGCAAAGGAACUGGAUCUACAACCAAGAAUCAACUACCCAGCAAAACUGACCAUAUUCUUACAGGGGAAGGUAUGGUCAUUUAACAAAAUAGAAGACUUCCAAGAAUUCCUAAAGAAAAGACCUGACUUAAACACUAAAUUUGAACCCCUAACACAGAACUCAAGAGAUUCAUUAAAAGUGGGAAUGGUCAGAAAGGUUGAAAUGGAAGGAAAAUAUCCAACUCCAAAUUCAAUCAUCAUCAACAUCAACAUCAUCAGUGUCAUCAACAAUGUCAUGAACAUAAUCAUCGACAACAAAAUCAUCAUCAUCAUCAACAUCAACAUCAUCAACAUCAUUAUCAACAACAUCAACAUCAACAUCAACAUCAUCAACCACAAUAUCAACAUCAACAACCUCAGUGACAACAUCAGCAACAUCUUCAUCAAUAACACAUCAACAACCUCAUCGAGGUCAUCAACAUUGACAUCAACAUCUAACUCUUCCUGGCUCAGGAAAGAUUUUUGCUGGGUGGCCUAAUCUAAUACUGAAUGAAUGCCAAAUGACCUAAACUCUAGGCUAGAAUGCCACUGUGUCCUUUGGGGGUAAAAAGAAAGCCUCAGUUUCCUCAUUUAUGUAUAAGUGAAGCUGACCUAGACUCUGCAUUAAGUUAAUCAAUUAAAUCAAAGAAUAAACCAAAUGUGCACAAGGGGAAAAAAAAACA